Molecule: long non-coding RNA, 813 nt
Filed under: Olea europaea subsp. europaea
Lineage: Eukaryota; Viridiplantae; Streptophyta; Magnoliopsida; Lamiales; Oleaceae
Source: RNAcentral
CAGAAAUCUUUUCCAGCUCAAGAAACUGGAAGUAGAAUAUGACUUAAAAACCCAGUCCAGCUCCAACAAACUCACCGGGUGAUCACAAUUCAGAGUUCAAACUACAGCAAACCAUGAGGCGAGCAAAGAACGCUUUUCUAACUAUAUUUCUCAUAUCUCCAUGUAAUGAUCAAAAGAUGGAGUCGACUCUAUAUAUAGUAACCACCUAUAAAUCUAAAACAAUAACAAGUAAACAUUGUGGAGGAGAUAUAUUUUAUCAAAUGGAACUUACUUAUCAAGUAGUACAUACUACAUAGCGUUUGGUUCUAUACAGACAAGAAAGAAUUGACCUACUCUCUUUAACUCUUCAUUACCAUCCUAUUAUCCCAAACCAGAAUCAAUCUAAGACGCCUCAUUAACAGAAAAGUACCUCCACGUUCUAUUUUAAGAAAAUAUGCAAAUGUUUUAGCAAUUAAGUAAAUGUAGAUCAACUUAUUCUUUGUCCAUAAGCUUAUAUUCGUAGCUUAGGAGCUUCUCUGGAGUCCUGCGGAAACACUUCGGCAUCGCCUUUUCUUCGAAAUGCCCUGCAUUAUUGUUAUUAGUGUCACCAAAACUUCCGCAUGAAACAUUAAAUUUAGAAAGAGCAUGAGCACUGAGAAAACUACUUAAUUAGUGAAAAAUAGGAAUUGAAUGACAUGGUUAUGCUUCUUAUACUGUGCAUCACUAAUAAAUAUCCAAUUUUUGACCAUUGUAGUAGGAUUAAUCAAAAUCAUAUCAAACAACUAAUGAAGAGACAAAUUAGAAGAAGACAAGCACGUUUGGUGUGGAUUAAAA